CCCCUAGCAACAGAGGCAACAUGGCGGCGUCCAGUACCGCGGAGCAUUCUCCAGAGAUAUCGACGCCGUUAAAGAUACCGAAAACCGAGGUGCCAUCCCCUGAGUCGGAGGACUUGAGUGACAGUAAUCAAUAUCACUCUAAUCCCUCGACACCAAAUCGCUUCUCGCCUUUGAACGUCGGCUCAGGGACCGCGGGCCGGACGGCGGCCUCAUCCUCCUCCAACAGCUUCACGGCUUGCCGAGGGAUGUCGUGGACCCCGUCCGAGACAAACGCCCUCAUCGCGGUCUGGGGCAAUGAGAGGCUGACGGAGGCGAGAAUGCAGCAGCUGGAGGUCGCAGGCACCGUGUUCUCCGGUAAGGCCCCCGGUCCUGCCAUGUACGAGCGGGUGUCCAGAGCCUUGUCGGAGCUGGGAUAUGAGAGGACCCCGUCCCAGUGCAGGGAGAGGAUGAAGACGCUGCGGCGCUGCUACAGCCGUGUGAAGGAGCACGGCAUCGGCAAAAGGAAGAGCAGCUACACCAUAGAGCAGCUGGAGAAGGUGUUUGGGCAGGGAGGCUGGGACUCCCAGAGUUGUGCCCCAGUGCUGAUCAACAGCAGUGGGCUGUAUCAGGAGAUGGAGUCUGAUGGCAGCACCCUAGAGGACUUCUCCCAGGAGGACUGGUGCAACCAGGUGCUGGACUCAGCCUUCCAGGAGGGAGACAUGGAAACUGAGGAAAUCCAGGUGCCUAAUAACAGAGCUCUGCAGAUUCAAAUAGAGCUGUCAGAACAAACCCAAAAAAGGGACAUGAUGCAGACUGUGAUGCGUAUCCUUGAGUCGGUUCAGCUGAAAUGGGAGCACUUCCAGACAUGGACUGAGUUCUCCAGGCUGCACCUCUCCAACAAACUGGCCAUCUUUGGUGUGGGGUACAACACACGCUGGCGCGAGGAAGUGCGUUACCACUACGCCGAAAUCAGCUCUCAGGUGCCGCUUGGCAAGAGGCUUCGUGAGUACUUCAACCCAGAAAAGCCAGAGGGCCGCAUCAUCAUGACCAAAGUUCAGAAGAUGAACUGGAAGAAUGUCUAUUACAAGUUUCUGGACAUUACCAUCAGUGAGGCGCGCUGCCUGGAGCUGCACAUGGAAGUGGACUGGAUCCCUGUAUCACAGUCCAGGGCAGCAGGCUGCAGAAAAGGCACAUCCCACUACCUCCUUCCUGUGAACAUCCCCAAGGCGUAUGGACUCUACGCUAUUGGCUACGAGGCGGUGUCUUAUUGUUACGACACUCACAUCUUUCCUCAGGGUGAUAGUGAAGACCAUAGCUUACCUACAUGCGAGUCUGAGAACGCGGCACAAAGUCAGGCUGAUGGAGGAGGUGCAGAUAAUUUUUACAGGACUGGGACUAAAGUCACUUACUGUUACCUAGGCAUAGCUGAGGAUAGGACCAUACAGCAGAGUCUCUUCCAGCACUUCCAGGGCUAUGGCAAACACUAUGCCCAUGGUGAAUCCUCCCCUGUGACGCGUUUCCUGCAGGAGAACUGCCACGGUGCUGUCACAAAUGAGAAUGGUGAAGGAAGUGAAGAGUCAUCUCAACAUUUUGCCAUUUACAUCAAAUUCAUUGAGGUGGAGCUGGACUUCCUCUCAGCCGGCUCCCUGGUGGAGUGCCUCGAAACUGCUGUUGGUUGUUCCUUGAAGUACAACAACAAAGAAACAUCGUAACUACACUCAGUGUUUCAGAUUUGUAUUGACUAAAGAUAUAAUCAACAAGUGUUACAGCCAGCAAGGCAACAUGAAAGGUGACCAAUUCUGUCUGUUAUAAAGCAUGGAUGUGUGCAAGAGUCUGGCAUAUUUUUGCAGCCUUUUUAGCACUAUUGAACUGAUUUUCCAUUAGACCCUUAUUAAGUCUAAAAAGAAUGACGAUACACAAUAUGGCAAAUGUAUUGUGUAGCGAUAUGGGAACAGUAGUUUAUGUAUUACAGAGCUGCAACAUCCAAGAAGUAUGUACUUAUUAUUUUUAGGCUAAUGUGCACUACAAAGGUUUCUGCUGCUUGUAGAUAAAUGUUACACAUAAUAUACAUCAGGGAGGGUGGUGUUGGCAAGGUGACUACUGCAGUAAGCAUCUGUCUACCUCAGUAGGAUGUAGCCAACAAGGCAGUGAGGGGACCAUAGCGUGUAUUUAUUUUGAAACUGCCUUUACUUUGAGUGUGGACCUGAAUUCACAAAGCAUUGAAGAGUAACUGCUGAUUUAUGCCUUAUGUUUUGCACAUGUAACUCGGCUGCAGCUAGGGAUGCUUCCAUGCAAAUUAGGGAGAAUAAGCAAUGGCCAAUGUGGACACCUGUUUAUCCAGCAGUGUGAACACUGGGGGCACAAACCCACCUGGCCGGUUGAGCAUGGGCUUCAUUCCAUUUCAAUUCAGCACACUAAACGACACAUGCCACUUAUGCCGACCUGUAACAACGGUUCUGUGCAGCAAGUAAACAAAAUACCAUGUUUAUCAACUAUACACUAAUGUAAACAUCUUUCAGACUGAAUACCAUGGCUGAAUCUAAAUGGAAAAGGUUCUGUAGUGUCUUUGCAACACUGAAAAGCUGUUAAAAGACUAAAUUAAACUUUAUCACAGCAUGUCCACCACCUGCUCCUGUUUGGAGAUUCAGAGUCAGACCUGCCUCCUGCUCUCAUUUGGUUGUAAGGGCAAUGUUAAGAACCCAAGAUUAAAUAAAAGCCCAGGUUAAAUAGAGCCCAGGUUAAAUAGAAGCCCAGGUUAAAUAAAGCCCAGGUUAAAUAGAGCCCAGGUUAAAUAGAAGCCCACGUUAAAUAGAGCCCAGGUUAAAUAAAAGCCCACGUUAAAUAGAGCCCAGGUUAAAUAGAAGCCCAGGUUAAAUAGAAGCCCAGGUUAAAUAGAGCCCAGGUUAAAUAGAAGCCCAGGUUAAAUAGAGCCCAGGUUAAAUAGAGCCCAGGUUAAAUAGAAGCCCAGGUUAAAUAGAGCCCAGGUUAAAUAGAAGCCCAGGUUAAAUAGAAGCCCAGGUUAAAUAGAGCCCAGGUUAAAUAGAAGCCCAGGUUAAAUAGAGCCCAGGUUAAAUAGAAGCCCAGGUUAAAUAGAGCCCAGGUUAAAUGGAGCGCAGACGGCAGGUAUGACACUGAAUGCCUCUCCACUGAUAACCACACAUUGGCCUUAAGACCAAAUGCAGCGCAGUUGUUAAGCUGUCUUGUUAUCUGUUUAGCCUUCUUGCUGACUUUGUUGCAUGGUCUGUUAUAGCUCUAAUACACAUUAAAAUGUUUGACUAGGUUGGUGGUAUUCAGAGUUUUGCUCUUGCACAAGCAAAAUUUAUUGUACACAACUUUGAGUUUUGUCUUUUCGAGAUAUUCAGAAAUACAGCCAGAUCAGUACAGACAUGACAUUGCCAUGGUAUCAGCUAGCAUGAGAAGUGUCUGAUGUUACACUGCAGUGUAAGUAUACAGUAAGGCAAUAUGUAUUGGUGGCCAGUACUUUGGAGCAUUUCUAGCUGGAGCUGUGAGAGAGUUUGAGAGUGGGUUUCAGUAGAGCAACAUAACAGAAGCUGUGUUGAUGAGUUACCAGCACCUCCCACAUACUGGGAUUGCAAUGCCCCAGUCCUGCGGAUAACACACAAUCAUGCUUAUGGGUGUAAACCAGACAGCACUGAUCUUCGACUUCUAGUCUGGACAACAAGCUGCGUCCUUGACCAGUAAAUUAAACUGAAUUAUUUAUGAAAAUGAUUGCUGAGGUUAUGUGCAAUGUGCCAGGAAAGGACUGUAGAGAAGAAUCAAGCAAUGGAGAAGUCCAUAUUGAAUCUAUGUAUAUGAAAUGUACCUUUAUAUAUCUAUAAUAAAUAUAUAUAUAUAUAUAUAUUAUAUAUAUUUAUAUAUCUAUAAUAAAUAUAUAUAU
Cottoperca gobio is the source of this 3877-nucleotide RNA transcript. It is a transcript of the gene named Myb/SANT DNA binding domain containing 2, with no coding region annotated. The record is from RefSeq and is a predicted model, not a curated record. NCBI's taxonomy places the organism in Eukaryota, Metazoa, Chordata, Actinopteri, Perciformes, Bovichtidae. The transcript is spliced from 5 exons.